GCAUAUGGUUAUGAAAAGGCCAUAAUGAAAAGCACUCUGGGACACCAGAUAGCAUGGAAUCCUGUGUGGCAAGAUGGGGUGGCAAUGGGCAAAGAAGCAAGGCUGCCCGGAUAUGUUAUAGAUAUGGUUUUGGUAUUCACUUAGUGAAACAUUCAAUCAGGAAGCCAUUUUGGAUAUAACAGGCAACACUUUCUUUCAUGCGAUAAAAGUUCUGACCUAUUGAGUCUUUGGCGUCCUCGCAGUGCUCACAGAUCCUUCACUCUUCUGUUUUGCCGCAUGCUGCACUUCAAACCACUAAUCAUUUUGGAGCCUCCAAAUUGUGGCCAUUUAACAGGUUGCCAGUUAGACCACAUCAAAACAAAGCCUGAAGGAACAUAUCUGUAUCAGAGAAAAUCAAAUAAAGAGCCACAACUCUGCUGAUAUAUAUUAUAUAUAAUAUACUAGGAUGCAGCUGAAGAAUGAAGCUGAGACUUCAAUAUGAACAAAAGCGG
RNAcentral lists this long non-coding RNA (491 nucleotides) under Capra hircus (goat). Its description in RNAcentral is "lncRNA (ENSCHIG00000001592.1)". The record is from RNAcentral. Lineage: Eukaryota; Metazoa; Chordata; Mammalia; Artiodactyla; Bovidae.